Molecule: long non-coding RNA, 390 nt
Filed under: Setaria viridis
Lineage: Eukaryota; Viridiplantae; Streptophyta; Magnoliopsida; Poales; Poaceae
Description: long non-coding RNA (SVIR_LNC001835)
Source: RNAcentral
UGGUGUUGAUGGCAGUUAGCACGACGAUUAGUGAACCACAAGCGCACGGAUCAUCGUAGCUUUUCCCUUAUAGUAUUCCAUCCAAGGUUUAUCAAUCUGUGGAUUAGCAAUAAACUGGCUAGGGUUUUCUAUCUAGUCCAAAGGAUCUAUCCUAACAUGAAGCAUAGAUUGCAUAAGAAGGCAAACUUGUUGUAAAUGUUGGUAUCAUGAAUAAGGGUAGAUCACAUCCACAGAUAUAUAUGAUAUAACAUCACCGAGGGCUGCAAAAGCCUAGCAUCUUCUAGUUGUAGUUCCACCCAAUGAUCAAGCACAUCAUGCAUCUCAUCUAAAGCAAUAUUUAAACUACUACCUCUACUCAACCGCCCGAAAACCCCCACCUUACACAGAAUG